This is a long non-coding RNA of Raphanus sativus (radish), 581 nucleotides long. RefSeq lists it as uncharacterized. NCBI's taxonomy places the organism in Eukaryota, Viridiplantae, Streptophyta, Magnoliopsida, Brassicales, Brassicaceae. The record is from RefSeq and is a predicted model, not a curated record. The transcript has 2 exons.
AAUGUCUAAUCUCAGCCCUUGAUGAAAUCUAAUCAAAGGGAUCAAAUUCUUUCUUCCUUCUUUUUUUCACGUGUGCUUCUUCUCAAGCUCUCAUUAUUUCUUUUUUAUGCAAACAGAUCUGACAAAACACAGACACAUAAACCAAAACAAAUCUGGUUUUCCUUCUCCAGUCACGUAAUUUUUCUAUCUCAUCUACUCCUCUCUCCUUUGUUCAUCGCUGGCAUGAAAUGGUGUGAAGAUCUCUCGGCGUCGACGAUACUCCACCACCACCGUCGGGUCGUCACUGUCCACCUCGUCUCCUCCUGAAAGAAGAUGAUAUGGUUGUCAUUGGAAUUGCUGGAGGAACACGACGGGAUUUAUGGCAGAUGUGGUGCUCGUUGGAUUCACGUCACACGGUUUGAGGUUGGGAGAGGAAGAAGAAGAUCUGUGAGAUCCGGUGAGACCUGAAGAGGCGCUUGAAGAUUAGGUUUAGUUUUUUUUUUCUGGGUUUAUAUUUUUUUUUUUUUAAUUUCUGGUUUAAUUUGUAAACAGGCUUUUAUUGUAAUCCGAAAUUUAAUUUAUAAAAGAAUAUUUUAUUUUUA